UACACUCUGGAUUCCUGGACAUCUUUUUA
RNAcentral lists this non-coding RNA (29 nucleotides) under Mus musculus (house mouse). Lineage: Eukaryota; Metazoa; Chordata; Mammalia; Rodentia; Muridae. The record is from RNAcentral.